Molecule: ribosomal RNA, 254 nt
Filed under: uncultured bacterium
Lineage: Bacteria
Description: partial small subunit ribosomal RNA
Rfam family: Bacterial small subunit ribosomal RNA
Source: RNAcentral
AGAACGAACGCUGGCGGCGUGCUUAACACAUGCAAGUCGAGCGGAAAGGCCCUUCGGGGUACUCGAGCGGCGAACGGGUGAGUAACACGUGAGCAACCUGCCCCUGGCUCUGGGAUAGCUCCGGGAAACCGGGAUUAAUACCGGAUAUGACCCCCUUCUGCAUGGUGGGGGGUGGAAAGUUUUUCGGCUGGGGAUGGGCUCGCGGCCUAUCAGCUUGUUGGUGGGGUGAUGGCCUACCAAGGCGACGACGGGUA